GUUUUCCCUUUGGCCUUUGUUCUUGGUGUUCCCUAUAAUGGCCUGUUUGCUGUUGCUUUUGCUUUGGUUUCCCUUGGCUUUCCUUCUUGCUUUUUUCUUUGUCUUACCCUUGGCUGCUUGCUUUGCUUUUCUCUUGCAGUGUCUUUCUGUGGUUGUUCUGCUUGUCUUUGGGAUUUGUGUUAAUGUUUUGUUUGUGUUAAUCUUGAUCUGCUCCCCCGGCUUAAUGCGGGUUGUAGUGAUAAAGUCUGUAACCUGUAUUUGUUAAUGGAACUGAUAUUUACCUAAUAUUUACCCAAUACUAAAGGUGUCUGUUAUGAUAAAUGCAGUCAUAAAAGUGAUGCUCAGUGCUUUAUGUGAAAGUCACUUUAAUUAUGAUCGUAGUGUGGGAUACAAUUGUUAAACUUACUGCAAAUCUAGACUUAAAAGUAGCAUUAAUUAUAUCCAUAAUAGCAUUAAUUAUAUCCCUAAUAGCAUUAAUUAUAUCCCUAAUAGCAUUAAUUAUAUCCCUAAUAGCAUUAAUUGUAUCCCAGUGCCUUCAUUGUCAUGUUGUGUCCAACAGGUUCCAGCAGAGCACAGAGAUGUGCGGCUCCUGAUGAGAGCAGCGAGGAACAGAAACCUGCAUUGCCUGGACCCAGCUUUGCUGAUGGUAACUCUCAGCCCAGCAGGGCCCUUAUAUUCCCUGGCUGAUGGAUGUUCCCCUUUGAUGCAGCGCUCCAUGCUGCCAUGCAGGCGUUCAAUAAAGCUUUGGGGGGCUGACGAUCCAUCACAACAGCA
Molecule: non-coding RNA, 774 nt
Organism: Coturnix japonica (Japanese quail)
Lineage: Eukaryota; Metazoa; Chordata; Aves; Galliformes; Phasianidae
Source: RefSeq, a predicted model, not a curated record